This 274-nucleotide ribosomal RNA is filed under the name uncultured bacterium. Its description in RNAcentral is "partial 16S ribosomal RNA". It matches the Rfam family "Bacterial small subunit ribosomal RNA", at positions 523 to 796 of the family's 1533-position model. The record is from RNAcentral.
AUACGGAGGGUGCAAGCGUUACUCGGAAUCACUGGGCGUAAAGCGCGCGCAGGCGGCUAUUUAAGUUGGAUGUGAAAGCCUACGGCUCAACCGUAGAACUGCAUCCAAAACUAUUAGACUAGAGUGUGGGAGAGGAAGAUGGAAUUAGUUGUGUAGGGGUAAAAUCCGUAGAGAUAACUAGGAAUACCAAAAGCGAAGGCAAUCUUCUGGAACACUACUGACGCUGAGGCGCGAAAGCGUGGGGAGCAAACGGGAUUAGAAACCCUAGUAGUCC